Molecule: ribosomal RNA, 253 nt
Filed under: uncultured bacterium
Lineage: Bacteria
Description: partial 16S ribosomal RNA
Rfam family: Bacterial small subunit ribosomal RNA
Source: RNAcentral
UACGUAGGGUGCAGGCGUUAAUCGGAAUUACUGGGCGUAAAGCGUGCGUAGACGGCUAUCUAAGUCGGGUGUGAAAGCCCCGGGCUCAACCUGGGAAUUGCAUUCGAGACUGAAUAGCUAGGGUGCGGUAGAGGGAAGCGGAAUUUCCGGUGUAGCGGUGAAAUGCGUAGAUAUCGGAAGGAACAUCAGUGGCGAAAGCGGCUUCCUGGACCAGCACCGACGUUCAGGCACGAAAGCGUGGGGAGCAAACAGG